AGCAGCGGCGGCGGCAGCGAAAUAAUAAUAAUAACUGUUUAUGUGCAAAACUGUGCAAAAUAUAAAAGGGGACGCUUCAAAAGGUUGCCAAAAGGCAGCCCUACUUGCAACCCUAAAUACAACUCUGGAAAGUGAGCACGCAUCCCUGGCUCUUCGGCUUCCCUCGGCGCAUUUUUUUCAAAGCGAAACGGCAGAAAAAUGCUCUGGCAUUUUACGGAUUUCUAAUUGUAUUAUUUAUGUGAGAAAAUUGCAAAUAAAAGUGAGUCCAUCAUGCCACCCAAGAUGGAGCCGAUUAGCGUGCGCACCGCGCGUCUGAACAACCUGAUUCUGGGC
Molecule: non-coding RNA, 333 nt
Organism: Drosophila melanogaster (fruit fly)
Lineage: Eukaryota; Metazoa; Arthropoda; Insecta; Diptera; Drosophilidae
Source: Ensembl